Molecule: long non-coding RNA, 750 nt
Organism: Suricata suricatta (meerkat)
Lineage: Eukaryota; Metazoa; Chordata; Mammalia; Carnivora; Herpestidae
Exons: 3
Source: RefSeq, a predicted model, not a curated record
CUGAUAACGGGUGCAGAUGCGGAAACUUCUAUCCCGGAACCGCGGUGCUGCUGAUUGGCUUCUCUGGAAACCCUACACUAAUAGGAUUGUGAACAGAUGCGCGUCAUCAGUAUCCAGGCAGAAGGACUCGACACAGGUUGUGACUGGGAGAAGUGAAACCAGGGAGGAUGGGGACUCCCCAACACUGGGCUUCCCCGCCCCAGACACUGCCCUGGGGCCUGAGACCCUGAGAGGCAGGCGGGGGACCUGGGACUUUGCCCCGAAGCCUCACCUACUACACAGAGCGCUCUCUGUCCCACUGUGUCCCUGAGUCGUGGCCCAGGAGCUGCUUAAAGAUCUUCAAUAACAAAUUCUUAUGGCCGCCAACCUAUGUGGUCAAAGCAUGGACUUUAAGCAGGUGAACACUGCCAUCACCUACCACCUGCCUGGAGAUUCCCACACCUACCCGCACUGGGUAAGCUGCACACCCACACGGGCAUGCCAGUGACCCCUCCUACCUUAUGAUUUCCUAUCUCAUGCAUCCGUGUUCCUCCUUUUGGGUGUCUUCCUACUUUGGAGUCUUCCCAGUGCUACCCUGACUCCUUCCAGUUUGGCCACAAUGGCUUGAAAAUCAGGUUUGUAUCAGGUGGCAACAAGGCCAAGAACCUCAGUGAGGCACAGGGCCACACUGAGCUCGGUAGUAGUGAGCUGCCUGAUGAGAUGGACAUUUCCUCUUCCAUUUAUUGUCAAGUUGGUUUCCAUAUAACACCC